GCGAACGGGAUUAGAUACCCUGGUAGUCCACGCUGUAAACGAUGUCGAUUUGGAGGUUGUGCCCUUGAGGCGUGGCUUCCGGAGCUAACGCGUUAAAUCGACCGCCUGGGGAGUACGGCCGCAAGGUUAAAACUCAAAUGAAUUGACGGGGGCCCGCACAAGCGGUGGAGCAUGUGGUUUAAUUCGAUGCAACGCGAAGAACCUUACCUACUCUUGACAUCCAGAGAACUUUCCAGAGAUGGAUUGGUGCCUUCGGGAACUCUGAGACAGGUGCUGCAUGGCUGUCGUCAGCUCGUGUUGUGAAAUGUUGGGUUAAGUCCCGCAACGAGCGCAACCCUUAUCCUUUGUUGCCAGCGGUUCGGCCGGGAACUCAAAGGAGACUGCCAGUGAUAAACUGGAGGAAGGUGGGGAUGACGUCAAGUCAUCAUGGCCCUUACGAGUAGGGCUACACACGUGCUACAAUGGCAUAUACAAAGAGAAGCGACCUCGCGAGAGCAAGCGGACCUCAUAAAGUAUGUCGUAGUCCGGAUUGGAGUCUGCAACUCGACUCCAUGAAGUCGGAAUCGCUAGUAAUCGUAGAUCAGAAUGCUACGGUGAAUACGUUCCCGGGCCUUGUACACACCGCCCGUCACACCAUGGGAGUGGGUUGCAAAAGAAGUAGGUAGCUUAACCUUCGGGAGGGCGCUUACCACUUUGUGAUUCAUGACUGGGG
RNAcentral lists this ribosomal RNA (712 nucleotides) under uncultured Serratia sp. RNAcentral describes it as "bacterial SSU rRNA". It matches the Rfam family "Bacterial small subunit ribosomal RNA", at positions 768 to 1480 of the family's 1533-position model. The record is from RNAcentral. Lineage: Bacteria; Pseudomonadati; Pseudomonadota; Gammaproteobacteria; Enterobacterales; Yersiniaceae.